AAGGAUAUGGCUCAGUGGUAGAGUGCUUGCUUAGCAUGCACACGGUCCUGGGUUCAAGCCCCAGGACCUUCA
Molecule: transfer RNA, 72 nt
Filed under: Camelus dromedarius (Arabian camel)
Lineage: Eukaryota; Metazoa; Chordata; Mammalia; Artiodactyla; Camelidae
Also listed under: 1 other name
Rfam family: tRNA
About the family: Transfer RNA (tRNA) molecules are approximately 80 nucleotides in length. Their secondary structure includes four short double-helical elements and three loops (D, anti-codon, and T loops).
Source: Rfam by way of RNAcentral